CAAAAUGAUUUGUUAAGAUUUAGAUAGUGGAAAACGUUUUCUCGCAAAAUGGAAUCUCAUAGAAAAAAUACAGUUUUCUCCAAUAUGCUCGGAAAUGUUCACCUUAUUAUACCAAAAAUAGUAAAGGAAGUUCUUCGUUAUGGUCAAACAAAAAAAAAAAUAUUUAGAAAAAAAAAACGACUUCAAUGACCGGUGAAAGAUAGAUUAUUGUUGAUUUUGGAUUUCAUACAAUGAAAUUAAAAAGACUGCUAUAAUACCCGCAAUAGAGUAUUCGACUUUAUUUAAAAUAAAUUAUUUCACACCAUGAAAUAAUAUUAAAAAUGGCUAUAAGUUUGCUUAAAAGAGUUGAGAAGUACCCUCAAUUCCUCAUGGAAUCCAUCAUCAAAACUCAAGCUUGACAAAAAUGUACCUUGAAAACCUAACUGUUUCACAAACAUGUGAAGAGAACAAAUUCCCAAACGUGAACUAUGCGUCGUUGAAGAGUUACAUUCGGAUCACCAUCAGCAGUUCUACUUCAUCGUAUGUUACUUUUUAAAUGUAAAUGCUUGAUUUGUUGAUGAAAAUACAAAAAUCACUAUAUGUAUGCUCUUCACAUUUGACGAGUUCCCUCGAUUGCUCAUGAUCAGAUCCAUCAUCUGAACUGAGUUUUGACAAAAACGGGACCAAUCUGUAUAUAUAUAUUCAAGCAAAAAAAUAACAUUAAAAAAAAAACAUACGCACCGAAUUGAUAACCUCCUCCUUUUGAAAUCUUGAUUAAAAAAUUCAAAUCAUUAUUGUUGUGUUUUAGCGGACGGGAAGUUAUUACUGUAUUGUGUUUUACUUUUAAAAACAUGUAUCCACUAAGAAAAACGCAAACAGCCAAUUAAUAUAGGCGCGGGCUGCGUCUACACGACCCGGUCAGCAUCAUUUCAAGCUAUAUGAUAGAGUCGUGUAUGAUCGUGCGAAUACUGCUUAAUAAAAUCAAAGAUUAUAAAACUUUUAUAUAUAGUUGGUCAAGCAAAUCUUGUCAGUAGAAAAACGCGGCAAAUUUGAAAAAUCGCGGGCUAGCAACACUGUGUUCGAAUAAUUCCAAAAUCGCAUGUAAUCUGUGUUUUAUCUGUGGAAUGUGGAUCGUCCAUCUUGUUUGUUUACAUUCCGAAUCGGUGCUAAUUCAAGAGAAAUUUCUGCUCCUAGCAUUAAAAUAAAUAUCAAUAUAUUAAAUAAUAUUGUGCAUGACCAUAAGCAAAGUCAAGAUGCCUACAAUGGUUAAAAGGCUUAAAUAAAGAUAAAACGUAUGCCUAAAUAUAUCCAAUAAGACCACGAAUUGUGCCCUCGAAACCGCAACUGAUUCGAUUGUUCCCAAUAUCAACAGACGAAGUCCUCAAAUAUUUUCAAAGGAUUAAAACUCGCCCAAUAUAAGGCGUUCGUAAAAGUUUCUCUUCAUACAAAACUUACCUACGGCGGUUUACGUACAUACGUGUACAACGCAAACAACACGAAAAAUAAACUUGUUAAUUAAAAAAAUUAAAGAAAUUGGGACAAUAGUUUAGAUUAUUACU
This is a long non-coding RNA of Cydia pomonella (codling moth), 1538 nucleotides long. RefSeq lists it as uncharacterized. NCBI's taxonomy places the organism in Eukaryota, Metazoa, Arthropoda, Insecta, Lepidoptera, Tortricidae. The transcript is spliced from 3 exons. The record is from RefSeq and is a predicted model, not a curated record.